Molecule: ribosomal RNA, 468 nt
Filed under: uncultured bacterium
Lineage: Bacteria
Description: partial 16S ribosomal RNA
Rfam family: Bacterial small subunit ribosomal RNA
Source: RNAcentral
GACGAACGCUGGCGGCGUGCUUAACACAUGCAAGUCGAACGGAAAGGCACUGCUUUUGUGGGGUGCUCGAGUGGCGAACGGGUGAGUAACACGUGAGUAACCUGCCCUUGACUUUGGGAUAACUUCAGGAAACUGGGGUUAAUACCGGAUAGGAGCUCCUGCUGCAUGGUGGGGGUUGGAAAGUUUCGGCGGUUGGGGAUGGACUCGCGGCUUAUCAGCUUGUUGGUGGGGUAGUGGCUUACCAAGGCUUUGACGGGUAGCCGGCCUGAGAGGGUGACCGGCCACAUUGGGACUGAGAGACGGCCCAGACUGCUACGGUAGGCAGCAGUGGGGAAUAUUGCACAAUGGGCGGAAGCCUGAUGCAGCAACGCCGCGUUCGUGAUGACGGCCUGCGGGUUGUAAACCGCUUUCGCCUGUGACGAAGCGUGAGUGACGGUAAUGGGUAAAGAAGCACCGGCUAACUACGUG